RNAcentral lists this ribosomal RNA (406 nucleotides) under uncultured bacterium. RNAcentral describes it as "partial 16S ribosomal RNA". It matches the Rfam family "Bacterial small subunit ribosomal RNA", at positions 30 to 526 of the family's 1533-position model. The record is from RNAcentral.
AUUGAACGCUGGCUGCAGGCCUAACACAUGCAAGUCGAACGAUUGGCGGACGGGUGAGUAAUGUCUGGGAAACUGCCUGAUGGAGGGGGAUAACUACUGGAAACGGUAGCUAAUACCGCAUACCAUCAGAUGUGCCCAGAUGGGAUUGGCUCGUUGGUGGGGGAACGGCUCACCAAGGCGACGAUCCCUAGCUGGUCUGAGAGGAUGACCAGCAACACUGGAACUGAGACACGGACCAGAAGACUACGGGAGGCAGCAGUGGGGAAUAUUGCACAAUGGGAGGAAGCCUGAUGCAGCCAUGCCGCGUGGAUGAAGAAGGCGUUCGGGUUGUAAAGUACUUUCAGCGGGGAGGCGUUACACGCAGAAGAAGCACCGGCUAACUCCGUGCCAGCAGCCGCGGUAAUUC